GACGAACCAUACGAACGUUAUUCGGAAUUACUGGGCUUAAAGGGUGCGUAGGCGGCGCGGCAAGUUGGGUGUGAAAUCCCUCGGCUCAACCGAGGAACUGCGCCCAAUACUGCCGUGCUCGAGGGAGACAGAGGUGAGCGGAACUUAGGGUGGAGCGGUGAAAUGCGUUGAUAUCCUAAGGAACACCCGUGGCGAAAGCGGCUCACUGGGUCUCUUCUGACGCUGAGGCACGAAAGCUAGGGUAGCGAACGGG
RNAcentral lists this ribosomal RNA (253 nucleotides) under uncultured bacterium. RNAcentral's name for it is "partial 16S ribosomal RNA". It matches the Rfam family "Bacterial small subunit ribosomal RNA", at positions 524 to 776 of the family's 1533-position model. The record is from RNAcentral.